RNAcentral lists this ribosomal RNA (301 nucleotides) under uncultured bacterium. RNAcentral describes it as "partial 16S ribosomal RNA". It matches the Rfam family "Bacterial small subunit ribosomal RNA", at positions 509 to 807 of the family's 1533-position model. The record is from RNAcentral.
CAGUAGCCGCGGUAAUACGAAGGGGGCUAGCGUUGUUCGGAUUUACUGGGCGUAAAGGGCGCGUAGGCGGGCGAUUAAGUCAGGGGUGAAAUCCCAAGGCUCAACCUUGGAACUGCCUUUGAUACUGAUUGUCUUGAGUCCGGGAGAGGUGAGUGGAACUGCGAGUGUAGAGGUGAAAUUCGUAGAUAUUCGCAAGAACACCAGUGGCGAAGGCGGCUCACUGGCCCGGAACUGACGCUGAGGCGCGAAAGCGUGGGGAGCAAACAGGAUUAGAUACCCCCGUAGUCCCUGUCUCUUAUAC